UACGGGGGGGGCAAGCGUUGUUCGGAAUUACUGGGCGUAAAGGGCUCGUAGGCGGCCAACUAAGUCAUACGUGAAAUCCCUCGGCUUAACCGGGGAACUGCGUCUGAUACUGGAUGGCUUGAGUUCGGGAGAGGGAUGCGGAAUUCCAGGUGUAGCGGUGAAAUGCGUAGAUAUCUGGAGGAACACCGGUGGCGAAGGCGGCAUCCUGGGCCGAUACUGACGCUGAGGAGCGAAAGCCAGGGGAGCAAACGGG
This 253-nucleotide ribosomal RNA is filed under the name uncultured bacterium. Its description in RNAcentral is "partial 16S ribosomal RNA". It matches the Rfam family "Bacterial small subunit ribosomal RNA", at positions 524 to 776 of the family's 1533-position model. The record is from RNAcentral.